CACACAAAUAUGCAUAUAGAGAGGCCGUGGUGAACGUUAUGCUGCCUGUGACAUCAUCCAGCAUGACUGGUUUGGCGGUCGGUCAGUGAUGGUCUGGGGAGGCAUAUCCUUGGAGGGUCACACAGACCUCAACGUCAUAGCCAACGGUACCCUGGCUGCUGUUAGGUACCAGGAUGACACAAAAGCCUACUAAACGCACAAAAUAAUGGGAAAUGAAUGGACUGCCAACCUAAGGGACAGCCCGUGCAGCAGUUGCUAAGUGAUAGGGUACACUUUUCGAAUUUCUGCUACCAAUUAAAAAGAAGUAUAGGCAUAUGGCCAAUCGUCCCUGUGUUCUACCUAUUUUUACCUGUUUACAGACACAGAAUUGGAUGCAAAAAAUAAAGGAUGUGAUUAAGAGUGAUAUAAAUAAACCUAAAGAGGGAAAAACAGAGUACCAGUAGAGGAAUCUGGUUUUAUUUGGAACUCUGACAUUCUAAAUUAGAAGUAUGUUUUCAGAAAGACAGGACAAUAUGUGGUCCGGGAAAGAAGAGUCAUUGUCUGGGGGCAGUCACUCAAAAAACAUAGAACAAUCCAGGGAAAAUCAGAAUGUGUGGCAAACCUAUCCAUGGCACUAACUUAUGUAUCACAACAAUCGUUGUUGAUUUAGCUAACAGUAAAUGACGUUCAAAGAACUUUUUACUAGCCAGGAGCGAUGCAGGGGCGGUCAACGAGCUAACCAUAACCUGAGCGAACGUUAGCCAGCUGGCUGUAGCUAAAGCCCCGUUUCCACCGAGCAGUACCGUACGGUUCAGUUCAGUUCAGUGCGCAUUUUUUCUGUUUCCACUGUGAAAAGUUGUGGAUGGUACCAAUAGAACUGUUCCUUACCAUCCCCAUUUUUGGUCCCCCCUUUGUUGGGGUACCUAGCACACAGAUCUGGUACUAAAAGGUCAAGCUGUGAACACUGCAGUCCAUUGAUUGGUCACUCUGCUAAGGGCUGAGUUGUGGCUGGUUUUGAGGCUCAUGUAACUACUGUUCAUACUGUGGAGAGUUUUAUUAGUAAACUGUAACUAUAAAAUGAAAGGAUGUUUUGCUGCCUCUCACAGCAGAUGUAGAUUGAGAAAAAAUAACUUAAUUAAGUGGGCUGACUGACAGCCACUUUUAGGGUGGAAUGUUUACUUGUAAUGUUACUCAAUGCAUGAGGUGACAACGUGGAUCCAUCAGCACACUUUAAAUUUCUUCGACCAUUACUUCAGGUUUUAUUGUCUGUCUUGGAUGACAUACACUUUCUUGAAACGUUCAUAUAUAUAUAUCUUAAUUAUGUGACCUGCAUAUAUGCUAAUCCUCACUUGGAGAAAAAAAACGCAUUGCAGAGCAUCGCUCCUGUGGGCUCCGGCAACACUAAACCCCUGCGCUUGCCUGAGAAGGACUAAAUGCACAAAGCUGCUAUUUUUAAAUAUCCCAUGGAGAGAGACUCUCACUGCAGCAUGUUCUAUUUUGUUCUGAAAAUGUCGGCGUGCAGCCUCGUUCUGUGGACGAUAAACGGUGCUAAGGUGUAGACUUCCAUCUGUGUCACCAGUAAUGAGGAAAUACAGUGAGUGCUGGACGGAUUAGUGAGUGACAACAACCUCGCCCACAUUUAGGGUACUGCUUGCAGUGGAAACACUAAGGUCUAGGUCAGAGCCGUCCUCCCUCUAAGUAAAUUAAUUGGCUGCUUAGGGCCCUGUGGCCACUAGGGGGAACCCAGAUGGAUGCACAGUAAACUGAAUUGUUUACAACAAUUUGAACUUAUUUAUGAUUUUUAGAUAUAAUGAUUAAGAUACUGAUAUAAAGUAAUGGACUCCAAAUUUAAAAAAAAAAAAUGCUAAUGAUAAAUGUUAAUGUUUUUUCCUACCAGGCCCAUCAUCAUCCCACACCGAAGCUGACUCAUCAUCAGCCCCUGGGGUUGGUUCCAGUGAUACAUUUGAUCCAGUUGAAACUGCUGAUCAAAGCCACCCAACAUCUGUUCUUGAACUCUGUGGAAGAACAUCAAAUUAGAUUUGAAAAAAAAAGAAUACAGAGGCCAGAAGAGAGAGAUUUACUACAGCUGGUGGACCACCACCAAGUAAAGACAAGACAGAUGAAUUGGGUGACUUGUUGUCUGGAAUAAUAGAGGACCAGCAACCUCUGGAUGGUAUACCAGAUGAUGACCAUUUGGACAGUGGACAUGAAGAACUGAGCACAAAUGGUAAAUGUUCCAAAGAAAAUAAAUCAGUUCUGUCAAUCAUUCUGUACAUACAGUAUAUUCCACUGUCCGUGUCUAUCUGUAUUUUUAUUUCAUUCUAAGGACCACAUGACUUUGUGAAUCUAACAGUGUUCUUUUCCCCGAGGAAAUGAUUCUAACGCUGUUGGAAGAGCCAGUGCACAGUGACUGUGCACCCUCCACAUCUGGUAUGGCAACCCAGAGGAAUGACAUGAAAAUGAGAAUUCUACAGGUUGAAUUGGAUAUGAAAUUAAAAGAGAGCUGCUCAAAGAAAGAUGCAUGAGCAAUGCUGAACAAUGUAAUGAAAUACUGUAAGUUGUGAAAAUAAAUGUUUUCUCACUUGGCAAGAGUGUGAGUAUUGUAGUAACCACAAACUGCGUUUUAGAUCAGCCUUGGUUGAGUUUCUCAUUUAAUUAAAUGCAUCUUUUUGUCUAACUGAAGUGCUACAAUGUGAAUGCAGCAUAAGGGAAUUUAAUGUACAGACUUCUCAGUUCACAAAUGGCAUUGCAGACAUUGUGAACUAUUCUACACACUGUUGAUUCACUGACACCACACAAAUCACCAGUUUCAAGAUGAAAGGUUGCAGAUGCCAAGAACCUCAAAGUGAUCAGAACUGGGAGAAAACUGGGUACAGGCCUUCCUCUUUGAGACACAGAGGAAAGUCUAGGCUCAAGCAAAGUGAUUAUCUCCAGCGCACUUUCUUUGUACAUACGAAAGCGGUUUCGGAAAGCUAUUUCAUCAAACUGAUUCAACAGAUUACUCCUAUCCACAAGUAUUUGUCUGGCUGGCCUCUGUAGUGCAUAUUGGUCUUCAUUUAGAUAUUCCAAAUACUCCAUGCUCCAAAACAGUCUGUGCUCCCUUUAAACCCGCCUCUUUGAAGGAUUAAUUUAAGAUUCAAUUUAGUCCUAGAUUAGCUCUAAUCCACCCUCUCGCAAUCGGCUUUGUUUAAUCCAGAACAGACUAAAUCUACGACUAUUUUAAGAUAAGUCUGUGCAAGAGACUUAGAGUUAAGCCAGCUCAAACAGCAUUUUCGUCUCGGACUAGGCUUAAGCCUUGUCUGUGAAACCGGGCCUUGAUGUUUAGCUUCCUGUUAGAGGCUUUAAAGAGUUAGAAAGGUUUUUGG
Molecule: long non-coding RNA, 3344 nt
Organism: Epinephelus moara (kelp grouper)
Lineage: Eukaryota; Metazoa; Chordata; Actinopteri; Perciformes; Serranidae
Exons: 3
Source: RefSeq, a predicted model, not a curated record